This 448-nucleotide ribosomal RNA is filed under the name Lepiota subincarnata. Its description in RNAcentral is "SSU rRNA". It matches the Rfam family "Bacterial small subunit ribosomal RNA", at positions 404 to 884 of the family's 1533-position model. The record is from RNAcentral. Lineage: Eukaryota; Fungi; Basidiomycota; Agaricomycetes; Agaricales; Agaricaceae.
UGGUUCUUGAGAUAACGUAAGGGAUAAAAAUGAUAGUACCUUACUAUAAGUGUUGUCCAACAAUACUGGUGCCAGAAGACUCGGUAACGCCAGAAACGCAAACGUUAGUCGUCUUAAUCAGGCGUAAAGGGUAAGUAGGCUGCUUUAAAAAUUAUUAAAUAGAAAGCUCUAGCCGUAGGCUAGUAAAUAAUAAUGAAUUAAAGCUAGAAUCAAAUAGGGGAUAAGCCAAAUAAUGUUUAGUGUAAGGCUCAAAUCUUUAGAUACUAAAUGGAAUACUAAGGUGAAAACUUUUAUCUACUAAUGAUUGACGCUGAGGAACGAAGGUGAGAAUAGAAAACAGGAUUAGAGACCCAGGUAUCUCUCACUGUCAACGAUGAAUGGUAGUUGUUAGUUAAAAAUUUAAUUAGUAACGAUGUUAACGCGUUAACCAUUCCGCCUUGCGAGUACG